UGACCUCGGAUUAGGUAGGAAUACCC
This 26-nucleotide ribosomal RNA is filed under the name Daldinia childiae. Its description in RNAcentral is "partial 28S ribosomal RNA". The record is from RNAcentral. Lineage: Eukaryota; Fungi; Ascomycota; Sordariomycetes; Xylariales; Hypoxylaceae.